RNAcentral lists this ribosomal RNA (902 nucleotides) under Phocaeicola plebeius DSM 17135. RNAcentral's name for it is "bacterial SSU rRNA". It matches the Rfam family "Bacterial small subunit ribosomal RNA", at positions 8 to 911 of the family's 1533-position model. Lineage: Bacteria; Pseudomonadati; Bacteroidota; Bacteroidia; Bacteroidales; Bacteroidaceae. The record is from RNAcentral.
AGAGUUUGAUCCUGGCUCAGGAUGAACGCUAGCUACAGGCUUAACACAUGCAAGUCGAGGGGCAGCGGGAUUGAAGCUUGCUUCAAUUGCCGGCGACCGGCGCACGGGUGAGUAACGCGUAUCCAACCUUCCGUACACUCAGGGAUAGCCUUUCGAAAGAAAGAUUAAUACCUGAUGGUAUGAUGAGAUUGCAUGAUAGCAUCAUUAAAGAUUUAUCGGUGUACGAUGGGGAUGCGUUCCAUUAGGUAGUAGGCGGGGUAACGGCCCACCUAGCCUACGAUGGAUAGGGGUUCUGAGAGGAAGGUCCCCCACAUUGGAACUGAGACACGGUCCAAACUCCUACGGGAGGCAGCAGUGAGGAAUAUUGGUCAAUGGACGAGAGUCUGAACCAGCCAAGUAGCGUGAAGGAUGAAGGUCCUACGGAUUGUAAACUUCUUUUAUAAGGGAAUAAAACCUCCCACGUGUGGGAGCUUGUAUGUACCUUAUGAAUAAGCAUCGGCUAACUCCGUGCCAGCAGCCGCGGUAAUACGGAGGAUGCGAGCGUUAUCCGGAUUUAUUGGGUUUAAAGGGAGCGCAGACGGGUCGUUAAGUCAGCUGUGAAAGUUUGGGGCUCAACCUUAAAAUUGCAGUUGAUACUGGCGUCCUUGAGUGCGGUUGAGGUGUGCGGAAUUCGUGGUGUAGCGGUGAAAUGCUUAGAUAUCACGAAGAACUCCGAUUGCGAAGGCAGCACACUAAGCCGUAACUGACGUUCAUGCUCGAAAGUGUGGGCUAUCAAACAGGAUUAGAUACCUGUAGUCCACACAGUAAACGAUGAUACUCGCUGUGCGAAUACAGUCAGCGCUUAACGAAGCGUUUAAGUAUCCAGCUGGGGAGUACGCCGGCAACGGUGAACUCAAGGAAUU